Molecule: ribosomal RNA, 435 nt
Filed under: uncultured Methylomonas sp.
Lineage: Bacteria; Pseudomonadati; Pseudomonadota; Gammaproteobacteria; Methylococcales; Methylococcaceae
Description: bacterial SSU rRNA
Rfam family: Bacterial small subunit ribosomal RNA
Source: RNAcentral
AACGCGAAGAACCUUACCUACCCUUGACAUCCUCGGAACUUGUCAGAGAUGACUUGGUGCCUUCGGGAACCGAGAGACAGGUGCUGCAUGGCUGUCGUCAGCUCGUGUUGUGAAAUGUUGGGUUAAGUCCCGUAACGAGCGCAACCCUUAUCCUUAGUUGCCAGCGAGUAAUGUCGGGAACUCUAGGGAGACUGCCGGUGAUAAACCGGAGGAAGGUGGGGACGACGUCAAGUCAUCAUGGCCCUUAUGGGUAGGGCUACACACGUGCUACAAUGGCCGGUACAGAGGGCAGCGAAACCGUGAGGUCAAGCAAAUCCCACAAAGCCGGUCCCAGUCCGGAUUGCAGUCUGCAACUCGACUGCAUGAAGUCGGAAUCGCUAGUAAUCGCGGAUCAGAAUGCCGCGGUGAAUACGUUCCCGGGUCUUGUACACACCG